UGCAUCGGCCGGGAAUCGAACCCGGGCGGCAGCCGCGUGGCAGGCGAGCAUUCUACCACUGAACCACCGAUGA
This 73-nucleotide transfer RNA is filed under the name Cordylochernes scorpioides. Its description in RNAcentral is "tRNA-Gly". Lineage: Eukaryota; Metazoa; Arthropoda; Arachnida; Pseudoscorpiones; Chernetidae. The record is from RNAcentral.